This 250-nucleotide ribosomal RNA is filed under the name uncultured bacterium. RNAcentral describes it as "partial 16S ribosomal RNA". It matches the Rfam family "Bacterial small subunit ribosomal RNA", at positions 524 to 773 of the family's 1533-position model. The record is from RNAcentral.
UACAGAGGGUGCGAGCGUUAAUCGGAAUUACUGGGCGUAAAGGGCACGUAGGCGGUUCGAUAAGUCGGUUGUGAAAUCCCUGGGCUUAACCUGGGAAUGGCAAACGAUACUGUAGGACUAGAGUCGAAGAGAGGGAAGCGGAAUUUCCGGUGUAGCGGUGAAAUGCGUAGAUAUCGGAAGGAACACCCGUGGCGAAGGCGGCUUCCUGGCUUCAGACUGACGCUGAGGUGCGAAAGCGUGGGUAGCGAAC